Molecule: ribosomal RNA, 248 nt
Filed under: uncultured bacterium
Lineage: Bacteria
Description: partial 16S ribosomal RNA
Rfam family: Bacterial small subunit ribosomal RNA
Source: RNAcentral
UGAGUAAAGCGCGCAAAAACUCUUUUGGGUAGGUAGGUAGAGGGUAGGCGGGUAGAUAGGUAGGGGAGCAAUCUUCUCCCUAUCUACCCCCCUUCUUCUCUCCCUAUCUACUUUCUGGGGCUUUGUGGUGGCUUCGGGAGGGGCUUGCGGCCUAUCAGCUUGUUGGUGGGGUAAUGGCCUACCAAGGCGACGACGGGUAGCCGGCCUGAGAGGGCGACCGGCCACACUGGGACUGAGACACGGCCCAG